GACGUAGGGUGCAAGCGUUGUCCGGAGUUACUGGGCGUAAAGGGCGCGUAGGCGGCCAUUCAAGUCAUGGGUGAAAUACCGGGGCUUAACUCCGGGGGUGCCUGUGAAACUGGGUGGCUUGAGGGCCGGAGAGGUCAGCGGAAUUCCCGGUGUAGCGGUGAUAUGCGUAGAGAUCGGGAGGAACACCAGUGGCGAAGGCGGCUGUCUGGACGGUACCUGACGCUCAGGCGCGAAAGCCCGGGGAGCAAACGGG
This 253-nucleotide ribosomal RNA is filed under the name uncultured bacterium. RNAcentral describes it as "partial 16S ribosomal RNA". It matches the Rfam family "Bacterial small subunit ribosomal RNA", at positions 524 to 776 of the family's 1533-position model. The record is from RNAcentral.